This 609-nucleotide ribosomal RNA is filed under the name Acinetobacter baumannii OIFC189. RNAcentral describes it as "bacterial SSU rRNA". It matches the Rfam family "Bacterial small subunit ribosomal RNA", at positions 55 to 658 of the family's 1533-position model. Lineage: Bacteria; Pseudomonadati; Pseudomonadota; Gammaproteobacteria; Moraxellales; Moraxellaceae. The record is from RNAcentral.
AUGCAGGUCGAGCGGGGGAAGGUAGCUUGCUACUGGACCUAGCGGCGGACGGGUGAGUAAUGCUUAGGAAUCUGCCUAUUAGUGGGGGACAACAUCUCGAAAGGGAUGCUAAUACCGCAUACGUCCUACGGGAGAAAGCAGGGGAUCUUCGGACCUUGCGCUAAUAGAUGAGCCUAAGUCGGAUUAGCUAGUUGGUGGGGUAAAGGCCUACCAAGGCGACGAUCUGUAGCGGGUCUGAGAGGAUGAUCCGCCACACUGGGACUGAGACACGGCCCAGACUCCUACGGGAGGCAGCAGUGGGGAAUAUUGGACAAUGGGGGGAACCCUGAUCCAGCCAUGCCGCGUGUGUGAAGAAGGCCUUAUGGUUGUAAAGCACUUUAAGCGAGGAGGAGGCUACUUUAGUUAAUACCUAGAGAUAGUGGACGUUACUCGCAGAAUAAGCACCGGCUAACUCUGUGCCAGCAGCCGCGGUAAUACAGAGGGUGCGAGCGUUAAUCGGAUUUACUGGGCGUAAAGCGUGCGUAGGCGGCUUAUUAAGUCGGAUGUGAAAUCCCCGAGCUUAACUUGGGAAUUGCAUUCGAUACUGGUGAGCUAGAGUAUGGGAGAGGA